GCAGUUUCAAAUUCCAAAAGUAUUAAGUAUAUUAUAUCACCACGACUGGACAUUGCAUUGUAAGAACUGUUCCAAAGGAAAUGAAGUGCUUCCUAGAUUGAGUUAAAUGGACAGCAGCUGAGAUCAACAGUGACAGAUGGAGAAAUGGAGGCAUUUAAAAACAAGGAUUAUGGUCAGAGAAUAAAUCUAAAAAUUGAUCUUAUUUCUGCAAACUUUCCUCGGGAGUUCUGUCGGUGGCAUUUCACUGGGCUUUAUUCAUUUCUUCUGGGUGACUGCUCAUGAACCACAAGUCUGUGGUGUUCUAGGAGGUGACUAUUGACCUGGUGGACCGCCCCGGCCCCGUGGGAACUACAUGAGCUGAGUUCAGUGUUGCCUGCAUCCUGGUGGACUGCCUGGUAGGCACAAUAAACACGUGGAAACAGAAAGUUGUUUGCUUUGUGACGGGAAAAAAUUCCUGACAUUUCUCGAGAUGCACAGUGCAGAGAAGUGGACCAAGAACUGCUCAGGGUUGGCCAACGAUGCCUGAAAACAAGGCUGGCCUUGGGAAGCAGUCUCACCCCAGCCUUGCUUAUUAAACCAUCUGCCACCGUGGGACAGUCAAACGUAGCUGUGGGGAAAUGUGUCAAGAAGUAGAGUCCCCAUUCCAAUUUCAAACAAUGCAGGCCCUUACCCAACCCUGUGCUUUAUUUGGAGGAUGAAAAUAAACACACCGGCAGGAUUGAUUGCUAAUAACAGAUCAUAUAAUGAACUACAAAGGGGUUCUACAUCAGGUAGACCACUAACUCCCCCCCACACACACACACACAAACACACAGAGAGAGAUUAAUUCUUUAGCCAGUUAAGAACACAGACUUGGUAGAUUUAAAAAAAAAAAAAACACAAAAAACUCUUCUCUCA
Molecule: non-coding RNA, 897 nt
Organism: Ictidomys tridecemlineatus (thirteen-lined ground squirrel)
Lineage: Eukaryota; Metazoa; Chordata; Mammalia; Rodentia; Sciuridae
Source: RefSeq, a predicted model, not a curated record